Molecule: transfer RNA, 77 nt
Filed under: Anaerolineaceae bacterium
Lineage: Bacteria; Bacillati; Chloroflexota; Anaerolineae; Anaerolineales; Anaerolineaceae
Description: tRNA-Met
Rfam family: tRNA
About the family: Transfer RNA (tRNA) molecules are approximately 80 nucleotides in length.
Source: RNAcentral
GGUGAUAUAGCUCAACUGGUUAGAGCGCACGACUCAUAAUCGUGAGGUUGCAGGUUCAAGUCCUGCUAUCACCACCA